RNAcentral lists this ribosomal RNA (613 nucleotides) under Saitozyma flava. Its description in RNAcentral is "eukaryotic LSU rRNA". It matches the Rfam family "Eukaryotic large subunit ribosomal RNA", at positions 67 to 664 of the family's 3401-position model. The record is from RNAcentral. Lineage: Eukaryota; Fungi; Basidiomycota; Tremellomycetes; Tremellales; Trimorphomycetaceae.
AAGGGGUAUUUCCCCUAGUAGCGGCGAGCGAAGCGGGAAGAGCUCAAAUUUGUAAUCUGGCGUGCUCAGUGCGUCCGAGUUGUAAUCUAUAGAAACGUUUUCCGUGCCGGACCGUGUCCAAGUCCCUUGGAACAGGGUAUCAAAGAGGGUGACAAUCCCGUACUUGACACGACGACCGGUGCUCUGUGAUACGUUUUCUACGAGUCGAGUUGUUUGGGAAUGCAGCUCAAAAUGGGUGGUAAAUUCCAUCUAAAGCUAAAUAUAGGCGAGAGACCGAUAGCGAACAAGUACCGUGAGGGAAAGAUGAAAAGCACUUUGGAAAGAGAGUUAAACAGUAUGUGAAAUUGUUGAAAGGGAAACGAUUGAAGUCAGUCAUGUUCAUUGGAUUCAGCUGGUUCUGCCAGUGUAUUUCCUUUGAACGGGUCAACAUCAGUUUGAGCCGGCGGAUAAUGGCAGAGGGAAUGUGGCACCUCCGGGUGUGUUAUAGCCCUUUGUCGCAUACGUCGGCCCAGACUGAGGAAUGCAGCUCGCCUUUAUGGCCGGGGUUCGCCCACGUACGAGCUUAGGAUGUUGGCAUAAUGGCUUUAAACGACCCGUCUUGAACCACGGGACC